This is a non-coding RNA of Paramuricea clavata, 850 nucleotides long. The record is from the annotation of a GenBank genome assembly. Lineage: Eukaryota; Metazoa; Cnidaria; Anthozoa; Malacalcyonacea; Plexauridae.
CAGAAGGAUUGGGAUAAGUACCAUUGUGAAAUAAUAAGGUGAUAUAUAGUAUCUGGUGUUCCAUCAAAUUUCCACUGUGUUUUAUGUCAGUAUUGUAUUCUGGGUUGAAAAAAAUUUCUUUUAGGAUAGAGAAUGUUUCAAGAGAACUAGUAACAGUUUCCAAUAUUCUUCAGGGACAUAACCAUCAAUCCAUUAUACAUUAAUAAUUAUAAUUAAUGAAGAGCAUAGCCGUUGAUAACCUCCUCAUGAUAACCAAAGUCAUGAGCAAAAUUUGACAGAUGACAUAUAGGCAUAGAGAAUAUGACAUGGUCAUAGAGAAUAUGUUGUGUAUAGCACAGUAUAAAUAAGGGGCCACGUCCAUAUUCAUGUGGACACAAAUAACGUCGAAUCAACGUUAAUAUUUCACCCACCCAACCCAGAUGUCGAUCGGAUCGAUAUUCAGUCGUAUUUUGACCGAUAGACUCACAAUUAUUGUACUUUACUACCGUCAUUGCAUGGCUGGGAUUGUAUUUUGAUACAAUAUUUAAACAGUGAUUUGGUUUUCGCCGGAGUGGCAAUAAACAAUACAAGUGAACCAAGAUAUAGCCGUUCUCAAAAUUAAAAUGUCCAUAAUACAUGUCAUAUUCUUGUUGGUAGAAGUUGGCAACCAUGGUAAAUAUUUAUAAAACAAUCUUUUAAUGGUGACCUUGUUUACAUGAUAUGUCUACUGACAGUCUACGAAAUUAGAAAAGUUAUGCGCCUGUGGAGGUUCCGUUGAACUUAGCCUUCAGCCUUCUGCAUAUAGCCUAUAUAUAAGCGUAAGAUAUUUGGAAGUAUAGAAGAAACAGAAUAGCAUGUUAAAAUCUUACCA